GCUAGUAAUCGCGAAUCAGAAUGUCGCGGUGAAUACGUUCCCGGGUCUUGUACACACCGCCCGUCACACCACGAGAGUUUACAACACCCGAAGUCAGUGGCCUAACCGCAAGGAAGGAGCUGCCUAAGGUGGGUAGAUGAUUGGGGUGAAGUCGUAACAAGGUACC
This 166-nucleotide ribosomal RNA is filed under the name uncultured bacterium. RNAcentral's name for it is "partial 16S ribosomal RNA". It matches the Rfam family "Bacterial small subunit ribosomal RNA", at positions 1334 to 1500 of the family's 1533-position model. The record is from RNAcentral.